GUUUUACUGUAUCAUGAAGCUCCUGUGAGGACGCUGAACAUCUGCUGAUGGAGCUGCUCUGUUCUGAGAGGAAAUCGAUUAUGAGUCACCUGGACUCCACUGAUGGUCAGAGUGAAAUCAGUUCCAUGAUCAGCUCCUUCAUCAGAAUAAAACCAGAGAAUUGACACAGCUGUCAGAUGGCAGCAGGAUGUCGGGUUCAGCGUUUAUAAAUAUGUGAUAGUUUCUUUGAACGAUGAAUUUGAAUAAAGCUUGUUGUUCACUUGUAAAGUAUUUAAUUAUUGUGAUGGUUACUUUUAUUCAAUCAUAUUGUGCACAAGUGUUGAGGUGGGCUAGCAAUCCAGUUCAUUCUGGGGUAAUUCUUUUUUUUUUUGGUAGUAAUACUUACAUUUUUUUUUUUUGUAUAAAAUCUUCUCCAAAGGCAAGGUUUCCAGAGGCUGCCUGACGUCUUCAGUGUGAAGACAUUGCAAACAUUGAAAAUGCUGUACUAAGUAGGAAAACCGUACUAAUGUACUACUACAACUACUAGACAGUUGAGUUACUGAUGCUUUGAGAUGUUAGUGCACAUCGCUUUUUUUUUUCUUUCUCUUUUUUUAUUGCAUACAAGAUCAGGAAAAAAAAAAAACCAAACAAGAUUACAAGCACAUACAUAUCAUGGGUUUGGAUCAAAGCAUGAGAUUAUAUACACAGAAGCACAAUGACAAGGUGAAAUAUUUUGAAUAAUUCAUAUAAUAAUUCAUAAUCAUAACAUUAGUAGGGUUAAAAAUAUAAGAACUUAAAUUGACCCAAAAUGCAUUGGUUAUACCAUAAUCAAAAAAUAAAUGGAGAGCUUAGACUAAAAAAAUAGACUACAGAGUAUGCACUCUUUUAGCGCUUGCUAAGUAAACACUUUUUAAGUACCUACUCAGUGAGUUUGCUGUCUAGAAUACAGCCUCUGUGAUGCACGGCUGACACUUUUUGUGAAAACAAAUCUUAUUUUAAUUAUAUUUUAGCAUAAGCACACAUUGCUAGACAGGUAGAGAACAUAAUCAUUCAUAAUUAAUGGAGCCUCAUUAUCCAUUUGUAUUCAUUGUAUUCAUGGCACUCAUUAUUCUGGUUUUGCCUGUAACCCUCAUGUGAAGACAUUUUCAGUGACUUCUUGCUCAUUAUGUGAAAACUUUCUGUGAUGGAAAGACUAUGAAAUUGUCUACCAUCACUGGUUUCACUGGUAAUGUUGGUACAAAUGUUUUGGUUUAUUCAUUCUUUUUAAUUGUAUUAUCAAUUGUAUUUAUUUAAACGCUUGUUUCUAGAUCAUGUGUAUAUAAUAAGAUUCUAAGGCAAGAGUUUUUUUUAUAAAAAAUGGUAUGUUCCAAUUUGGGGAAAAAUGUAUUUUUAACAUGGCCACCACUAGAAGUUGGGGCAUGGAUGGAUAGAGAGCUGGGACACGAUUGUUGUGCUGUGUAGCAAGGGAAACUCCAGCCUCAAUGCUGUAGUUGGUACUGUUUCUAGUACUUGCACUUCUAGUUUUAGACUGUUUUUAUUACAAUCUUUGUUUUAAGCUCUUAUACCUAUUUAUUUGCACAUUUUGCACACCUGCUUAAAUAAACAACCCUUUGGAGCCCUACAUCGCUAUUGAUCCUCCUUGUGAUUGCUUGGGUCAUUAUCACACUUUCUUUAUCUCUUCUUAGACAAAGUUUAAACUUUUUUUAGCCCAGUUACCUACCCCCGUCCUAUGGAACAAAAAUAUGGGAAUAUGCUGCAAAAUAUAAUGCAGAUUAUCACAUAAUACAUUUCUAUAUAUGGCAAACUAGUGCUUAUAUUUUUCAAUAUGCUGCAAUAUUUGCAUUAACCAUGUCUGGCGAUGUAUUGAUGCAAAUAAAAACAUUUAGAAAUCCAGACAAAAAUAGAAUUACAUGUAAUAUUCAUUUAUGUGAUCUCAGUCCCAUUGUCAGGAUAUACACUGGAGACAGAGGUAGUUGAAUUCAACAGUUUAUUAUUCCAAGAGUUUGUGAAAAGUAGGAGAUAAUUUCAGGUGCGGAUUCUGUGCAGAUCACUUGCAGGAAUGCAGGUGAGUUCGUCAAUUGGCGGGAAGUCAAAGCCACACAAUUCUGGAAUACUAAUACUUGUCUCUUCACUUUUCCAUAUCGAAGCUCGUGGGGAAUUCAGGUAACUGGGUUAUCUCAGGAAUCCUGGAGACAGGAAAACAAAGACACACAGGUUAGCUUCUCAAAGGUAAGUAUACGUUUAUUCUGGAGGUCUUCUGAAAGCAAGAUGAGCUGGAGACAAGAUCGUGAGGUUGAAUCCUGUUGAAGGCUUGACUGUGAACUGGUGCUGAGGUGAGUGCUUUAUAGUGCCAUGCUGAUGGUGAUCAGGUGCAGGUGAUUAAUACUCAGGGGAGCGUGAGCAUUGUGGAUUGUCUGAGCCCGGGCUUGCCUGGUCCCUGACACCCAUAUCAGUAGAAUAGACCGAAAAAAUAAAGAUCUCAAAUCUGGGGAAUAUACUGUUCUGGUCAUGUGAGUCAAGCCUCUGAUAAGGUCUUCGACAAACGUUGUUUUUCUACCCCAGGGUAAAUAUGGCUUUCAGUUUACCUCAAGUCCCAGCAAAAGUUUUGUGAAGUUUUAUUAUCUUGAAUUUAUGAUGAAUUUGUU
Molecule: long non-coding RNA, 2624 nt
Organism: Carassius gibelio (silver crucian carp)
Lineage: Eukaryota; Metazoa; Chordata; Actinopteri; Cypriniformes; Cyprinidae
Exons: 3
Source: RefSeq, a predicted model, not a curated record